This 3146-nucleotide ribosomal RNA is filed under the name Karlodinium veneficum. Its description in RNAcentral is "LSU rRNA". It matches the Rfam family "Bacterial large subunit ribosomal RNA". Lineage: Eukaryota; Dinophyceae; Gymnodiniales; Kareniaceae. The record is from RNAcentral.
CGUAGGCGAAUAAGAGUUUACGAUGGCUCCUUGGUGUUCAGAAGCGAUGAAGGGCGUGGUUACCAACGAUAUGUUUUGGGAAAGCUGGAAGCAAGCCUAGAUCCAAAAAUCCCCUAAUGAGGAAACUUAAUUUAUACUAGACUCUAUUAGAUAUAAUAGGGAAGGGGCGAACCUAGCGAAGUGAAACAUCUUAGUAGCUAGAGGACAGACAAAUUAAUAUGUUGGCCCCUAGUAGCGGCGAGCGAACGCGGGAAAACAGCUCAAACUUUAUUUAUUUUUAAUAAAGGGUUGUGCAACAGCUUUAUUUUUCAGUAAAACAGUAAUAAAAGAAAAAUGUGAAAUCGUUUACCAUAGAAGGUGAAAGUCCUGUAUUCUAUUAUUGAGCAAACUGAAGUUGAUUGCGAGUAGGUCGGGACACGUGAAAUUCCUGCCGAAUGAGGGUGGACCACUGGUAUCUGAAGACAUAAGAACUUCAAUUUAUCUAAUAUUCCCCAAUGAGGAAACACAUCCAAGGCGGCCUGAUAUUACUGAACAACCGAUAGUGAAGAGUACCGUGAGGGAAAGGUGAAAAGAACCCCGAAAGGGGAGUGAAAAGAUCAUGAAUUCGUAAACUUACAAGCAGUAGAAAGGUAUUUGUAUGCUUAACUUCGUGCCUGUUGAAGAAUGAGCUAGCGACUUGUAGAUUGUGGCAUUUUUGGUUAAUUCUUGAUCGGUAAAAACAUAUCGGAGCCAUAGUGAAAGCGAGGACGAAAAGUUCAUGACGAAGUAGAAAAGUUUCUAUUUUUUAUUCAUGUCACAAUUUACAAACCCGAACCCGAAUGAUCUAACCGUGAUCAGUGUGAAACUUAGUUAACGCUAAACGGAGGCAUGAACUGACUGUUGCUGCAAGAACAGCGGAUGAAUUGCGGUUAGGGGUGAAAUUCCAAUCGAAUUCGGAGCUAGCUGGAUCUCCCCGAAAUGUGUUGAGGCGCAGCAAUUAAAAAUUUAUGUUCACUAUUGGGGGUAGAGCACUGUUUUGGUACGGGCCAUGAAAAAAUGGGACUAAAUCAAGGCAAACUAUGAAUACUAAAUAGGAUGUAAAGGUACACAAUUAGGUGUUAAUUUUAAAUUAGUGAGACAUCGAGGGAUAAGCUUCAAUGUCAAAAGGGAAACAGCCCAGAUUAUUAGUUAAGGCCCUUAAAAAAAUACUGAGUGAGAAAGGAGGUGGAAUAACCAUAACAACCAGGAAGUUUGCUUAGAAGCAGCAAUCUUGUAAAGAGUGCGUAAUAGCUCACUGGUCUAGCAGUUCAAGCGAAUCCAAGUUAUUCUGCGCUGAAAAUGAUUGGGACUAAGUAAUUUGCCGAAACUAUAGGAUAUCAGUUAAAAAUCAUAUAUUAGAAUUUUUAGUAGGCAUCGGUAGGGGAGCGUUCCACAUUAGAAAAGACAAAAGUGGGAGUGAGAAUGUUAGCUUGAGUAGCGAAAACAUUGGUGAGAAUCCAAUGCUCCAGAAACCUAAGGGUUCCUUUGGUAGGUUCGUCCACGAAGGGUGAGUCAGGUCCUAAAAUAAGGCUGUUUGCAUAGUUGAUGGAUAACAGGUCAAUAAUCCUGUACUACUAUAAAAAAUAGUGACAUGAAGGGGACGAAGUUUAAAAUAAACCUAAAAUUCUUUUUCCAAGAAAAGCCUAAGUGUUAAAAAUGUUAUUUAUUAUUAGAUAAAAUAAAUCUCAUAAUUUUUUAAAGUACCUGUACCAAACCGACACAGGUGGUGGGUAGAACAUACUAAGGAGCGCGAGAGAACUCUCUUUAAGGAACUCGGCAAAAUAGCCUCGUAACUUCGGGAGAAGGGGUGCCGUUAAAGAAUGAUAUUCUAUAGGUUUUAUCUUUAAUGGUUGCAAUAACAAGACGCUGGCGACUGUUUAUCAAAAACACAAGUCUCCGCAAAGUUACAAAACGACGUAUGGGGGCUGACACCUGCCCAGUGCCGGUAGGUUAAGGAAGCUUGUUCACGCUCGCGACGGAAGCCCCGGUAAACGGCGGCCGUAACUAUAACGGUCCUAAGGUAGCGAAAUUCCUUGUCGGGUAAGUUCCGACCCGCACGAAUGGUGUAACGACCGGCGUACUGUCUCAAAGAGAGGCUCGGCGAAAUAGACUUGUCUGUGAAGAUGCGGACUACCUGCACUUGGACAAAAAGACCCUAUGAAGCUUUACUGUAUCCUGAUAUUGAUUUUGGGUUUUGUUUGUAUAGAAUAGGUGGGAGGCAAUGAUAAUUUUUCUAUGAAAGGUUUGAGCCAACAGUGAAAUACCACUCUUGCAAAACACAAAGUCUAACUUUAUACUGUGAAUCAGGUUAGAGGACAGUGUUUGGUGGUCAGUUUGACUGGGGCGGUCGCCUCCUAAAGAGUAACGGAGGUGUGCAAAGGUUUUCUCAAACUGGUUGGAAAUCAGAGUUAGAGUAUAAAGGCAUAAGAAAGCUUGAUUGUGAGACAUACAAGUCAAACAAAGACGAAAGUCGGCCUUAGUGAUCCGACAAUACUUAGUGGGAGGGUUGUCGCUCAACGGAUAAAAGUUACUCUAGGGAUAACAGGCUAAUCUCCCCCAAGAGUCCAUAUCGACGGGGAGGUUUGGCACCUCGAUGUCGGCUCGUCGCAUCCUGGGGCGGUAGUACGUCCCAAGGGUUGGUCUGUUCGCCCAUAAAAGCGGCACGUGAGCUGGGUUCAGAACGUCGUGAGACAGUUCGGUCCAUAUCCAGUGUGGGCGUUAAGUAUUGUGAAAACUUCUUCUUAGUACGAGAGGACCAGAAGAACCAUACCUCUGGUAUACCAGUUAUUCUAAGGUAGCGCUGGGUAGCUAUGUAUGACUAAGAUAACCGCUGAAAGCAUCUAAGCGGGAAGCUAUUUUCAAGAUGAGUACUUCAUUUAGUAAUUACGGCAAGACUAGCCGGUUGAUAGGUAUCAAGUAAUAAUAUUAUUAUAUGACAGUAUUUUUAACAAUGUCAUUUGUAUUUAUCUAUAAUUUGAUAUAUGCUAUAUCCUUGUGAAGAGUUUUUAGGAGGGUAGUUACAUAAAAAAUCUAAUUUUAAUUAAAUUACAAUAUAAGUUGUUAGUAGUAAAUGUAAUUAUAAUAGUUAAUAAAAGCUAAGAUAUACUAAUAGAUAAAGGAGCUUACUU